This 253-nucleotide ribosomal RNA is filed under the name uncultured bacterium. RNAcentral describes it as "partial 16S ribosomal RNA". It matches the Rfam family "Bacterial small subunit ribosomal RNA", at positions 524 to 776 of the family's 1533-position model. The record is from RNAcentral.
UACGAAGGGGGCUAGCGUUGCUCGGAAUCACUGGGCGUAAAGCGCACGUAGGCGGAUUCUUAAGUCAGGGGUGAAAUCCUGGAGCUCAACUCCAGAACUGCCUUUGAUACUGAGGGUCUUGAGUUCGGGAGAGGUGAGUGGAACUGCGAGUGUAGAGGUGAAAUUCGUAGAUAUUCGGAAGAACACCAGUGGCGAAGGCGACUCACUGGCCCGAUACUGACGCUGAGGCGCGAAAGCGUGGGGAGCAAACAGG